GACGAACGCUGGCGGCGUGCUUAACACAUGCAAGUCGAACGGAAAGGCCCUGCUUGCAGGGUGCUCGAGUGGCGAACGGGUGAGUAACACGUGGGUGAUCUGCCCCUUACUUUGGGAUAAGCCUGGGAAACUGGGUCUAAUACUGGAUAGGACCAUGCUGUAGGUGGUGUGGUGGAAAGAUUAGUUUCGGUAAGGGAUGAGCUCGCGGCCUAUCAGCUUGUUGGUGGGGUAAUGGCCUACCAAGGCGUCGACGGGUAGCCGGCCUGAGAGGGUGGACGGCCACAUUGGGACUGAGAUACGGCCCAGACUCCUACGGGAGGCAGCAGUGGGGAAGAGUGCACAAUGGGCGCAAGCCGGAUGCAGCGACGCCGCGUGGGGGAUGACGGCCUUCGGGUUGUAAACUCCUUUCAGCCAUGACGAAGCCCUUGUGGUGACGGUAGUGGUAGAAGAAGCACCGGCUAACUACGUG
This 469-nucleotide ribosomal RNA is filed under the name uncultured bacterium. RNAcentral describes it as "partial 16S ribosomal RNA". It matches the Rfam family "Bacterial small subunit ribosomal RNA", at positions 28 to 507 of the family's 1533-position model. The record is from RNAcentral.